This 694-nucleotide long non-coding RNA is filed under the name Chrysolophus pictus (golden pheasant). RNAcentral describes it as "lncRNA (ENSCPIG00010004561.1)". Lineage: Eukaryota; Metazoa; Chordata; Aves; Galliformes; Phasianidae. The record is from RNAcentral.
CAUGAGCCAGCAGCGAUCACAGUGAGACGAGCUAUCAGCUCUCGGUGCAGUAGGCAGCGCAGCGACAUCAGCGCCCAUUCCUCGCGCGCAGACCUCCCGCAGCCCCUGGCAAUGCCUGCCUCCCCGGCGGGUCCCUUCGCGCUAAGUCUUGCUGGUUUUGUAGCUAAGCUGUGCGAUAGCCCUGACCUUCCCUCGCUCCCCUUCUCCGCCUGCAGCGACAGCGGAACCUCUUCUCUCGCAGCAAGAAUAGAAAAAAAUAAGCAGCAAGGUUCCUAACCAAGGGGUCAUGGAAAGUCAGAUUACGCACCGCAAAGAAAAACAUGGAAAAAUUCAAAAAGGAGAGGACAGAGAAACCCAUUGGACCAGAAAAUUCACACCGGUGAAGCAGAAGCCAUCCAAGGAGUUGAGGCCCAUGCUGGGGGCCGUCACGCUGGGCCUCAUCCUGUUCAUCGCGGCGGUGGUGGCCUGGUGCUACUACACGGUGUCCCUGCGGAAGGCGGAAAGUGUACAUGGCACUUGUUUUCUCUAUCACUUUGUGCAGAGGAGUGGGAAGAAAGUUGUCUCCGCAGCCAGGUUGGGAUUCUCAGGAGAAGAAAAUAGAGAGUUCCCACCUCCACCGAGACCCAGAGCACACGUCUCUGAAAAAGAAGAGGAUAAAUAUAGUCUGGGAAGAACCUCUGAACCAAGGGAUCAC